RNAcentral lists this ribosomal RNA (1707 nucleotides) under Frontoniidae sp. 2 bLPN1. RNAcentral's name for it is "SSU rRNA". It matches the Rfam family "Eukaryotic small subunit ribosomal RNA". The record is from RNAcentral. Lineage: Eukaryota; Ciliophora; Oligohymenophorea; Peniculida; Frontoniidae.
AAGCAUAUGCUUGUCUCAAAGAUUAAGCCAUGCAUGUCUAAGUAUAAAUAGUAUACAGUGAAACUGCGAAUGGCUCAUUAAAUCAGUAAUAAUUUAUUUGAUAAUGUUUUACAUGGAUAACCGUGGCAAAUUAUGGCUAAUACAUGCACUAAAGCCCAACUCACGAAGGGCUGUAUUUAUUAGAUACUAACCAACAUUUGGUGAAUCAUAGUAACUGAUCUGAUCGCUCGUUAGAGCGAUAAAUCAUUCAAGUUCCUGCCCUAUCAGCUUUCGAUGGUAGUGUAUUGGACUACCAUGGCAGUCACGGGUAACGGAGAAUUAGGGUUCGAUUCCGGAGAGGGAGCCUGAGAAACGGCUACCACAUCUACGGAAGGCAGCAGGCGCGUAAAUUACCCAAUCCCGACACGGGGAGGUAGUGACAAGAAAUAACAAGCCGGGUCCUCACGGGCUUUAGGUAUUGUAAUGAGAUGAAUAUAAAUUCCUCUACGAUUAGCAAUUGGAGGGCAAGUCUGGUGCCAGCAGCCGCGGUAAUUCCAGCUCCAAUAGCGUAUACUUAAGUUGUUGCAGUUAAAAAGCUCGUAGUUGAACUUCUGAUCGGGCACAGCGUUGGCAUUGUCGCGUUGGCGUCCGGUCAUCCGUCUACAAAUCCAUAUCUUCCUUAAGGGUAAGUAUGGCUGAGUAGACACUUUACCUUGAAAAAAUUAGAGUGUUUCAGGCAGGUCUCGCCGGAAUACAUUAGCAUGGAAUAAUGGAAUAGGACCUUUGUCCUUUGUUGGUUUUAGGACAAUCGUAAUGAUUAAUAGGGACAGUUGGGGGCAUUAGUAUUUAAUUGUCAGAGGUGAAAUUCUUGGAUUUAUUAAAGACUAACUAAUGCGAAAGCAUUUGCCAAGGAUGUUUUCAUUAAUCAAGAACGAAAGUUAGGGGAUCAAAGACGAUCAGAUACCGUCGUAGUCUUAACUAUAAACUAUACCGACUCGGGAUCGGAAGGGUUCUUUAUCGGCCCUUUCGGCACCGUAUGAGAAAUCAAAGUCUUUGGGUUCUGGGGGGAGUAUGGUCGCAAGGCUGAAACUUAAAGGAAUUGACGGAAGGGCACCACCAGGAGUGGAGCCUGCGGCUUAAUUUGACUCAACACGGGGAAACUUACCAGGUCAAAACAUGGAUGGGAUUGACAGAUUAAAAGCCCUUUCUUGAUUCUAUGGGUGGUGGUGCAUGGCCGUUCCUAGUUGGUGGAGUGAUUUGUCUGGUUAAUUCCGAUAACGAACGAGACCUUAACCUGCUAACUAGUUCAACUCUGAUAAAGAUUGUAACUUCUUAGAGGGACUAUGCGGAUUUAAACGCAUGGAAGUUUGAGGCAAUAACAGGUCUGUGAUGCCCUUAGAUGUCCUGGGCCGCACGCGCGCUACAAUGGUACGUUCAGCGAGUUAUUUUCAACCUGGCCCGUAAGGGAUCGGGAAAUCUUGUUAGGACGUACCGUGCUUGGGAUAGAUCUUUGCAAUUAUAGAUCUUCAACGAGGAAUUCCUUGUAAGCACAAGUCAUCAGCCUGUGCUGAAUACGUCCCUGCCCUUUGUACACACCGCCCGUCGCUCCUACUGAUUGAGUGUUGAGGUGAACCUUCUGGACUGCGCCUAGGCUUGUACUGGGUGCGGGAAGUUAUGUAAACCUUAUCACUUAGAAGAAGGAGAAGUCGUAACAAGGUUUCCGUAGGU